CCUACGGGAGGCAGCAGUGAGGAAUAUUGGUCAAUGGGCUUACGCCUGAACCAGCCAAGUCGCGUGAGGGAAGACUGCCCUAUGGGUUGUAAACCUCUUUUGUCAGGGAGCAACGCCGGCUACGUGUAGCCGGACUGAGAGUACCUGAAGAAAAAGCAUCGGCUAACUCCGUGCCAGCAGCCGCGGUCAUACGGAGGAUGCGAGCGUUAUCCGGAUUGAUUGGGUUUAAAGGGUGCGUAGGCGGAAUGCCAAGUCAGCGGUAAAAUCGAGGGGCUCAACCUCGCUCCGCCGUUGAAACUGGCGUUCUUGAGUGGGCGAGAAGUAUGCGGAAUGCGUGGUGUAGCGGUGAAAUGCAUAGAUAUCACGCAGAACUCCGAUUGCGAAGGCAGCAUACCGGCGCCCAACUGACGCUGAAGCACGAAAGCGUGGGUAUCGAACAGGAUUAGAUACCCUUGUAGUC
RNAcentral lists this ribosomal RNA (460 nucleotides) under uncultured bacterium. Its description in RNAcentral is "partial 16S ribosomal RNA". It matches the Rfam family "Bacterial small subunit ribosomal RNA", at positions 338 to 795 of the family's 1533-position model. The record is from RNAcentral.